GAUGAAGAACGUAGCGAAAUGCGAUAAGUAAUGCGAAUUGCAGAAUUUCCGUGAAUCAUCGAAUCUUUGAACGCACAUUGCGCCCGCCAGUAUUCUGGCGGGCAUGCCUGUUCGAGCGUCAUUUCAACCAUCAAGCCCCAGGCUUGUGUUGGGGACCUGCGGCUGCCGCAGGCCCUGAAAACCAGUGGCGGGCUCGCUGUCACACCGGGCGUAGUAGAUUUUAUCUCGCUCAGGGCGUGCUGCGGGUUCCGGCCGUUAAAAAGCCUUUUUUACCCAAGGUUGACCUCGGAUCAGGUAGGAAGACCCGCUGAACUUAAGCAUAUCAAUAAGCGGAGGA
Molecule: unclassified non-coding RNA, 337 nt
Filed under: soil metagenome
Description: partial contains 5.8S ribosomal RNA, internal transcribed spacer 2, and large subunit ribosomal RNA
Rfam family: 5.8S ribosomal RNA (bases 1-121)
Source: RNAcentral